RNAcentral lists this long non-coding RNA (560 nucleotides) under Gossypium barbadense (sea-island cotton). RNAcentral's name for it is "long non-coding RNA (GBAR_LNC021839)". Lineage: Eukaryota; Viridiplantae; Streptophyta; Magnoliopsida; Malvales; Malvaceae. The record is from RNAcentral.
AGAAAAGUAUAAAAGAGGCACAAGAGAUGUGUUCGGAUGAUCCGGCGAGUGGCGAGUGUGUGGCGGCUUGGGACGAAGUGGAAGAGCUGAGUGCGGCGGCUAGCCACGCUAGGGACAAGAAGAAAGACGAUGAUCCUUUGGAGAAUUACUGUAAAGACAACCCGGAGACCGAUGAGUGUCGUACUUAUGAUAAUUGAAAAUGUUUGUUUUUUUUCUAGUUUCUUAGAUUAUAGUUGGAUGUUAAUCUGAAAUAUGUUUUAUUGUUGGCUUAUAUAGUUUGUUAUAAUGAUGUAAUCCUAAAAUUAUACACUCUUAGAAAAGAAAAUGAUAUUAAUUAAUUUGGUAAUUUGAAGUUUCUUUUUAUGUAUUAAGUAAUGGGUUUUCUUUAUAAGGGAUCAUUCUGCAAUGUAAAGAGCAAGUGGACAUUUAAGCAAGUCGGAUAAAGAUGGAAUGCAUUAGGAGGGAACUGCAUUUCUUACCAACUCCCUCCACGCAUCCUCCAAAUCAUCCUUAGCACACCGACCUCCUCGAGAGAGGAAUGCAAAGAUAUCAUGUUACAC